RNAcentral lists this long non-coding RNA (358 nucleotides) under Bos taurus (domestic cattle). Its description in RNAcentral is "long non-coding RNA NONBTAT022893". Lineage: Eukaryota; Metazoa; Chordata; Mammalia; Artiodactyla; Bovidae. The record is from RNAcentral.
UGCUUAUGUAAAUUAUUUCCUUAAUUGGUCUUGACAAUGGAGACUUUAACCUAUAGUUUGCUUUAGAGGUGGUUAUUCAGAUUUUUUUCUUCUCUUUAGGAUCCUGUUCUCUUAUUUACCAAUGUCCACAGUACUUACCCUAGUUACUGGCAAGUGUUAGUCAGCUACAGAUUUCCAAGUGGAGUUUACACAGAAGAACACAUCUGAAUACAUUCACUUAACAUGACCUUUGAGUCAGGGGAAGAAGUCAAUAGGUAGAAAAUUUAAACUACACUUUGUAUUACUAAGCAAAAUAUUUCACUUUCAUGCCCUGUAUCUAUUCACUAAAGUUUGGAUUUUGGUGUGCUUGCGAAAACAU